GUUUAUAUUGGAAUAGUCUUACGAUGGAUAGCUUUCAGGGCAAGGGUCUUUAUGUAAAUUUAAGCAUUUGUUUUUUACGUAAAUUUCAUCAUUUACUGAGUUGAGUGGUUAAGUAUUGUUUCUACGUACUCCAACUUAAGCAUUUGUUUGCCUAGAUUGUAAGUCGCAACUAAUUUUCAGACAAUGCUUCAUUAAACAUGGAAUUCAUAAUAGUCGAGUUGCAGGAAACAUGGCGAUACAUGCAGAGAAGAUUAAAAAAAAAAAUUACAUCCAUAAAGUAUAGACACCGUCACAGUCUUUCCAGGCUCAAAUCAAAGUUGUAUUUUUUUUUUAAAAAGAGAUACCGAUUUAUAUAUAAGAAAACAGAUCAAUAUUACAAUAGUUGAAGGUAGUAAGAACAGAGAAUUCAUGAGAGACAGAUUUCAAAAACCUAAUGUUGAAGACAAUCAAAGUUGUUAAAAAACAUUUCUGCAAAAUACAUUUGUUAUGUACGAAAAUACAACAAUGAAACUGUUUCAUUUUGCUUAUUACAAAACCCACUGAACAAUCCGAAUUUGGCGUGUUAUUACGAUGGGAAGCUCCAGCAGUAUCCGAG
This 595-nucleotide long non-coding RNA is filed under the name Capsella grandiflora. Its description in RNAcentral is "long non-coding RNA (CGRA_LNC001521)". Lineage: Eukaryota; Viridiplantae; Streptophyta; Magnoliopsida; Brassicales; Brassicaceae. The record is from RNAcentral.